CUAUUACAGCGGACCACGUAACACUUACUGGGACAUCAUCUCCAUCAAACACAACAGGGAAUUCCUUUACCAAUGCAGCCAUUUCAGCUUUGACAGAGAACAGCACGGCACUUACUGGGACAUCAUCUCCAGCAAACGCAACAGAGAACAGCACAACAGUUAAUAGGCCAUCACUUCCAUGGGACAGAACAG
Rhincodon typus (whale shark) is the source of this 192-nucleotide long non-coding RNA. RefSeq lists it as uncharacterized. The transcript has 4 exons. NCBI's taxonomy places the organism in Eukaryota, Metazoa, Chordata, Chondrichthyes, Orectolobiformes, Rhincodontidae. The record is from RefSeq and is a predicted model, not a curated record.